RNAcentral lists this ribosomal RNA (1091 nucleotides) under uncultured Nitrososphaerota archaeon. RNAcentral's name for it is "bacterial SSU rRNA". It matches the Rfam family "Archaeal small subunit ribosomal RNA", at positions 1 to 1064 of the family's 1478-position model. The record is from RNAcentral. Lineage: Archaea; Thermoproteati; Nitrososphaerota.
CGCCCUUUUCCGGUUGAUCCUGCCGGACCCGACUGCUAUCGGAUUGAGAUUUAGCCAUGCGAGUUGAACGUCCCUUGAUUGCAGGGGGCGUAGCAUACGGCUCAGUAACACGUAGUCAACCUGCCCUGGAGACGCGGAUAACCCCGGGAAACUGGGACCAAUCCGUGAUAGGUCGCCCCAUCUGGAAGGAGGGGCGGCCCAAAGGGGAAUUGUGGGCUUCCACUUUUCUCGCUCUAGGAUGGGACUGCGGCCGAUCAGGCUGUUGGCGGGGUAAUGGCCCACCAAACCUGUAACCGGUACGGGCCUUGAGAGAGGUGGCCCGGAGAUGGACACUGAGACAAGGGUCCAGGUCCUACGGGGCGCAGCAGGCGCGAAACCUUCGCAAUGUGCGAAAGCAUGACGAGGUUAAUCCGAGUGGCUUCCGCUGAGGAAGUCUUUUGCCGACUGUAAAAAGGUCGGAGAAUAAGGGGAGGGCAAGUCUGGUGUCAGCCGCCGCGGUAAUACCAGCUCCUCGAGUGGUCGGGGCGAUUAUUGGGCCUAAAGCAUCCGUAGCCGGUUCCGUAGGUCUCCUGCAAAAUCCAGUCGCUCAACGAUUGGCCCGCAGGAGAUACCGCGGGACUAGGAGGCGGGAGAGGUGGACGGUACUCCACGUGUAGGGGUAAAAUCCUUUGAUCCGUGGAAGACCACCAGUGGCGAAGGCGGUCCACCAGAACGCGCUCGACGGUGAGGGAUGAAAGCUGGGGGAGCGAACCGGAUUAGAUACCCGGGUAGUCCCAGCCGUAAACGAUGCUAGCUAGAUGAUCCGAUCGUAAAUCAUGAUCGGAGUGUCGCAGGGAAGCCGUUAAGCUAGCCGCCUGGGGAGUACGGUCGCAAGACUGAAACUUAAAGGAAUUGGCGGGGGAGCACCACAAGGGGUGAAGCCUGCGGUUCAAUUGGAGUCAACGCCAGGAAACUUACCAGGAGAGACAGCAGAUUGAGGGUCAGACUGAAGAUCUUACCUGACGAGCUGAGAGGAGGUGCAUGGCCGUCGCCAGCUCGUGCCGUGAGGCGUCCUGUUAAGUCAGGCAACGAGCGAGACCCAAAGGGCGAAU